CAAAGUGCUGGGAUUACAGGCAUGAGCCACUGUGCCUGACCAGCCAUACCUUAAUUUAAAUUUUAUAAGGUAUUACUGAUAGAUUUUAGCAAAGGUAAACACAAAGUAAUCAAUAUUAUUUCAUCUAGCAAAGAAGAUGAAGUGAAAGUUCUGUAAGGACAUCAACCAGAACAUAAAAUUAUUGAAUACUAAUGUUCUGAUACAGUUUCAUGGUCUAUAUUGUUAAUAAGAAAUAGAAGCAGUGUUGACAUUGAGUAUAGUUACUGUGUUACUUUAAAUUUAGGUAAAAUUAUUUAACCCCAAAAUAGAGUGAAAUAAUUUUAUACAUAUUCAGUCUAAUCAUAUCUUUGCGAUGGUAUUUUCUGUUGAUCUCGUUUGUGUUUGGUCAGUGGUAGCAAGGUAUCUGAUACUUAUUGUGAUUUCCAAUGGGCACCUCCUGUCAACAUAACUUUGCUCAUGUAAGUGCCUUAAGCUCUUUGCUGGUGGUGAAUAUGAUGACUGACAUUUCUGUCAUGUAGCUUCUGGAAUGUUGUUAGACAGGAGAUCCUUCAGAUGAGUAUAUGGGUAGCAUAUAUGCUCUGGAUCCAUGUUAUUAGACAGAGAUCCUUCACAUGAGUGUGUGGGUAGCAUAUAUGCUCUGGAUCCAUGUUAUUGGACAGGAGAUCCUUCACGUGAGUGUAUGGAUAGUAUAUAUGCUCUGGAUCCAUGUUAUUAGACAGGAGAUCCUUCACAUGAAUAUAUGGGUAGCAUAUAUGCUCUGGAUCCAUGUUAUUACCCUCAUCCCCUUCCCCAUGGAAAACGUUCCUUUCCGUUCCCCUUUCAUCUAAAGAAGCUGCUGCUACAUCUGGAAAGCAGAGACAAGGUUAGGGUUGGGUGAUUUCUGAGCGAGCGUUGAAGUUUCGUUGUUUCUACAACUGUUCUAUUUUGUUAACGUGAGUCAUAACUUAAAAUGAUGUAAAUGCUAAUUAAACCAAUUGGCUUGAUGAAAGAAGCUUGCAUAUUGCAAAAAGAAAGUCUUAUUAGUGGUUGUUUAGAAAUACAAAGGAAAACUGUUGUACCACAGUUUGUGCUCCAAAAUUUAUUUUGUGAGUUUCUUUGAAUAGAAUUCUUUGUGUUCCUUAACCUUUUUGCUUUUCCUAAGAUUUGCCCUCUCCAAAUUUAAAUAAUAAAUGGCAACACUUGUCAACAUUUAGGGUAAACUGAAGAAAUACCAAUAGAGGUCAGUUGUAAUACAUAUGAGUUUUUUCUUUGAAAAAUAUUAUAUAUUAAUUAAGUUGGUUGGCACGUGCAGCUAUUAAAGCUUAACAGAUGAGUUUUAUGACAUGUUAUCAAAAUUCGAGGUAAUUUAGAACAACUUUGUUAAGAACUUGCUUUAAUUAAGGAAGACCCAAACACAAAGCCUUAUGUGCUGGGGAGGAAAGUCGUCUAUCUGCCAAGCUUCUUCACCUAUGCCAAGUACGAUGUGCAAGUGGAUGGUAAGAUAGGGCUGUUCUGAGGCCUGAGGCCCCGGCUGAUGUCCAACGCCCUCUUUCCUGUGACCUGGGUAGUAUGAAGAAGGUUUUCCCUCCAGAUGAGAUAUAGCAGGUUUCCAACAAGGAUGAUAUGAAGACUUCCCUGAAGAAAAUGGUGAAGGAGACCUCCUAUGGGAUGAUGAUGCAGUGCAUGUCCCGCAUGUUGGCCCACCCGCUGUGUGUCAUCUCAAUGCGCUGGAUGGUCCAGUUUGUGGGAUGGGAAGCCAAGUACAGUGGUGUGCUAAGCUCCAUUGGGAAACUUUUCAAAGAGGAAGGGCUGCUGGGAUUUGUUGGAUUAAUCCCUCACCUCCUGGGUGAUGUGGUUUUCUUGUGGGGCUGUAACUUACUGGCCCACUUCAUCAGUGCCUACCUGGUGGAUGACAGCUUCCACCAGGCCCUGGCCGUCCGGAGCCACACUAAGGGCUUGAUGGGGAUUGCAGUGAGCAUGCUGACCUACCCCUUCCUGCUAGUUGACAACUUCCUGGCUUUGAACAACUGCGGCCUGCAGGCUGGGCUCCCUUGUUACUCCCUGGUGUUCAAAUCCUGGAUUCACUGCUGGAAAUACCUCAGUAUGCAGGGCCAGCUCUUCCGAGGCUCCAGCCUGCUUUUCCGCAGGGUGUCAUCAGGAUCAUGCUUCGUCCUGGAGUAACCUGAAUCAUCUAAAAAACAUGGUCUCAACCUGGCCACCAUGGUGAGGGAGGCCUGACCAUCUCGGGAUACCUGCAAGAUGACUCCAACCCAACAACAAUCAGAUGUGGUCCAGCCCAGCCAGGUUUCAGUUUCCAUAUUUGCCAUGUGUCUAUCCAGAUGUGGAGUUGGGUGGAGGUGAGGCUGCACCCAGUGGAUUGGGUCACCUGCCAGACCUGGGAAAGGUGGGGGGAGGUGGGGAGUUGGCAGAAUCCCCAUACCUCAUGGAUUUGCCGAGUCUGUCUUGUGCAAAGGGCCGGAGAAUGGCUUGUGGGGACCCAGGUUGGACAGGGAAAGGCUAAUGGGGUCAGACCCCACCCCAUCUACCCCUCCAGUCAGCCCAGCGCCCAUCCUGCAGCUCAGCUGGGAGCAUCAUUCUCCUCCUUUGUAAAUAGGGUGUGAUCCCCUGGCACACGGCCACCAUCAUGUCUAGGCCUAUGCUGGUAGGCAAAUGCUAGGCUCUGCCUGCGUUUUUCUCAACACUAUUCUUCUGACAAUGAGGGCAGUACCUUCCUCUGAAUGGGAAAUCAUGUGAGUACUUAGAAUGUGCCCUCCUCAUCUAAUGCUCAUCUUUUUAAUGGCAAUGCCUCGCAUAUAGGAUCUGGUUACCUGUGCAGUUGUGAGUACCCAGAGGUUGGGCAGAUCAGCGUCUCUAGUCCUACCCAGUUCAUGGUAAGAUUUGACCCCGUCUCCUGCAAAUAAAUGUAUUGGUGGUGGAGAAAAGAAAAAAAGAAAUAGAAUUCGCUGUUCUUCUUUUUUUUUUUUUUGGAUGGCUUUAUAGAAGGAAAUAAAGAUAUAUAUUACAUAGAGGUCCAAUUUAAGGAAGAUCCAUAGAGUAUCAAGUUUCAGAGUGGCUUCAUUGACUUGAAGUUAAGCUAUUGAAUACAAAGGGUGUAUGGAAUGAGAGUAUUCUCUGCCUUUCCCAGUGAGAGACUGACUAGAUGAAGUGUAUAGAGUCGACACCCUCCCAGGCUAGUGGACUGUGAGAGGUUCUGGAUGAAAGGUUAAAAGAUUGCUUGCUCUUGUCUUUCCACUGAUUCUGCUGGUUAGCCUGACACUAACGGUGGAUGAAGUGUAGUGUAUACACUUUCCUGUGAUAAACCUGGUGUAUCAUCUCCCUUGUUCAGCUUCUUGAAGAUUAUGUGUUGCAUAAUAAUAACUAAGCCUCUAUAUACAACUCCUUCUUAAUUUUACCAAUAAACAAGUUCCAUUAAAAAGGUAUAUGAAGGUCUACAUUUUUUUUUAUUAUUAUUAUACUUUAAGUUCUAGGGUACAUGUGCAUAAC
Macaca mulatta (Rhesus monkey) is the source of this 3483-nucleotide non-coding RNA. Lineage: Eukaryota; Metazoa; Chordata; Mammalia; Primates; Cercopithecidae. The record is from RefSeq and is a predicted model, not a curated record.